AAUAGAGCGCUGUCAAACUCAGUUUCACUAAGGGCCACAUUGGAAAAUAAGAAUCACAUCAAAAGCCAGACAUUUUGAGUUUAUUGACAUGCUUUUAUUUUGAAAAAGUCAACUAUCUUUGACUGUAUUAUUGCAUGUCUUAUAAAGUAUUCUCCCUUAUUGUUUGGUCAACACAAAGCCCUAAAAAUGCUCCCUA
Molecule: long non-coding RNA, 196 nt
Organism: Etheostoma spectabile (orangethroat darter)
Lineage: Eukaryota; Metazoa; Chordata; Actinopteri; Perciformes; Percidae
Exons: 3
Source: RefSeq, a predicted model, not a curated record